RNAcentral lists this small RNA (74 nucleotides) under Lactiplantibacillus plantarum. The record is from RNAcentral. Lineage: Bacteria; Bacillati; Bacillota; Bacilli; Lactobacillales; Lactobacillaceae.
CUACAGCUACAACCGCACGGAUUGAGUCUUAAGUUCAGCAAUGGCACUUACAUUCGGCGAGUCUAAGUGAUUUA